AGUCUUGAGGUGUUUUACACGUUGGAUUGCAAAUCCUAAAUAGCAGAGUAGUUUCUGCCGGGGCUU
This 66-nucleotide transfer RNA is filed under the name Micropercops swinhonis. Its description in RNAcentral is "tRNA-Cys". Lineage: Eukaryota; Metazoa; Chordata; Actinopteri; Gobiiformes; Odontobutidae. The record is from RNAcentral.